AUGGAAUUGUGAUGUUGGAAUGGCUCAAUCUAAUAAAAGUUUCCAAACAUUUUUGGUUAUUUUAAUUUGAUUGAGCCGUGCCAAUAUCAUAUUUUCUUUG
This is a non-coding RNA of Solanum tuberosum (potato), 100 nucleotides long. The record is from Rfam. NCBI's taxonomy places the organism in Eukaryota, Viridiplantae, Streptophyta, Magnoliopsida, Solanales, Solanaceae.